This 460-nucleotide ribosomal RNA is filed under the name uncultured bacterium. Its description in RNAcentral is "partial 16S ribosomal RNA". It matches the Rfam family "Bacterial small subunit ribosomal RNA", at positions 338 to 795 of the family's 1533-position model. The record is from RNAcentral.
CCUACGGGGGGCAGCAGUGAGGAAUAUUGGUCAAUGGGCGGAAGCCUGAACCAGCCAAGUAGCGUGCAGGAUGACGGCCCUACGGGUUGUAAACUGCUUUUAUACGGGAAUAACGCGCCUUACGUGUAGGGCUUUGCAUGUACCGUAUGAAUAAGGACCGGCUAAUUCGGUGCCAGCAGCCGCGGUAAGACGGAAGGUCCGGGCGUUAUUCGGAUUUAUUGGGUUUAAAGGGAGCUUAGGGCGCAGGUCAAUCGUGCUGUUCAAUGUCCGGGCUCAAGCCGGGCCUUGCAGGGCGUACUGGCGUGCUUGAGUGCGCGGAAAGCAGGCGGAAUUCGUGGUGUAGCGGUGAAAUGCUUAGAUAUGACGCAGAACCCCGAUUGCGAAGGCAGCUUGCUGCAGCGGAACUGACGCUGAUGCACGAAAGCGCGGGUAUCGAACAGGAUUAGAUACCCGAGUAGUC